UAGACGUCUGACGGAGCACGCCGCGUGAGUGAAGAAGGCCUUCGGGUCGUAAAACUCUGUUGCCGGGGAAGAACAAGUGCCGUUCGAACAGGGCGGCGCCUUGACGGUACCCGGCCAGAAAGCCACGGCUAACUACGUGCCAGCAGCCGCGGUAAUACGUAGGUGGCAAGCGUUGUCCGGAAUUAUUGGGCGUAAAGCGCGCGCAGGCGGCUUCUUAAGUCUGAUGUGAAAUCUUGCGGCUCAACCGCAAGCGGUCAUUGGAAACUGGGAGGCUUGAGUGCAGAAGAGGAGAGUGGAAUUCCACGUGUAGCGGUGAAAUGCGUAGAGAUGUGGAGGAACACCAGUGGCGAAGGCGGCUCUCUGGUCUGUAACUGACGCUGAGGCGCGAAAGCGUGGGGAGCAAACAGGAUUAGAUACC
RNAcentral lists this ribosomal RNA (418 nucleotides) under Heyndrickxia coagulans. Its description in RNAcentral is "bacterial SSU rRNA". It matches the Rfam family "Bacterial small subunit ribosomal RNA", at positions 372 to 786 of the family's 1533-position model. The record is from RNAcentral. Lineage: Bacteria; Bacillati; Bacillota; Bacilli; Caryophanales; Bacillaceae.